Molecule: ribosomal RNA, 739 nt
Filed under: Pseudomonas aeruginosa
Lineage: Bacteria; Pseudomonadati; Pseudomonadota; Gammaproteobacteria; Pseudomonadales; Pseudomonadaceae
Description: bacterial SSU rRNA
Rfam family: Bacterial small subunit ribosomal RNA
Source: RNAcentral
CUACCAUGCAGUCGAGCGGAUGAAGGGAGCUUGCUCCUGGAUUCAGCGGCGGACGGGUGAGUAAUGCCUAGGAAUCUGCCUGGUAGUGGGGGAUAACGUCCGGAAACGGGCGCUAAUACCGCAUACGUCCUGAGGGAGAAAGUGGGGGAUCUUCGGACCUCACGCUAUCAGAUGAGCCUAGGUCGGAUUAGCUAGUUGGUGGGGUAAAGGCCUACCAAGGCGACGAUCCGUAACUGGUCUGAGAGGAUGAUCAGUCACACUGGAACUGAGACACGGUCCAGACUCCUACGGGAGGCAGCAGUGGGGAAUAUUGGACAAUGGGCGAAAGCCUGAUCCAGCCAUGCCGCGUGUGUGAAGAAGGUCUUCGGAUUGUAAAGCACUUUAAGUUGGGAGGAAGGGCAGUAAGUUAAUACCUUGCUGUUUUGACGUUACCAACAGAAUAAGCACCGGCUAACUUCGUGCCAGCAGCCGCGGUAAUACGAAGGGUGCAAGCGUUAAUCGGAAUUACUGGGCGUAAAGCGCGCGUAGGUGGUUCAGCAAGUUGGAUGUGAAAUCCCCGGGCUCAACCUGGGAACUGCAUCCAAAACUACUGAGCUAGAGUACGGUAGAGGGUGGUGGAAUUUCCUGUGUAGCGGUGAAAUGCGUAGAUAUAGGAAGGAACACCAGUGGCGAAGGCGACCACCUGGACUGAUACUGACACUGAGGUGCGAAAGCGUGGGGAGCAAACAGGAUUAGAUAC